RNAcentral lists this ribosomal RNA (499 nucleotides) under uncultured bacterium. Its description in RNAcentral is "partial 16S ribosomal RNA". It matches the Rfam family "Bacterial small subunit ribosomal RNA", at positions 28 to 507 of the family's 1533-position model. The record is from RNAcentral.
GACGAACGCUGGCGGCGUGCCUAAUACAUGCAAGUCGAGCGAAGUGUCGAUGGUGCUUGCCCCGGGAAGACUUCGGGGCACACGGGUGAAACACGCGUAAAACCCCUCCCUCAUAGACUGGGACAACUGGUGAAAACGAUAGCAAACACCGAAUAAUAUCCUUAACUGUAUCGAUAAUGUUUAAGAGUUUGUUUCGGUAACACUUAGAUGUAGCUUUGCUGUGCAUUAGCUAGUUGGUGGGGUAAAGGCCUAACAAGGCGACGAUGCAUCGCCGACCUGAGAGGGUGAUCGGCCACACUGGGACUGAGACACGGCCCAGACUCCUACGGGAGGCAGCAGUAGGGAAUCUUCCGCAAUGGGCGAAAGCCUGACGGAGCAACGCCGCGUGAGUGAAGAAGGAGUUCGGAUCGUAAAACUCUGUUGUUAGGGAAGAACGUGUGUGUAGGAAAUAGACAAAGUAUAGACGGUACCUAAACAGAAAGCCACGGCUAACUACGUG